RNAcentral lists this ribosomal RNA (586 nucleotides) under uncultured bacterium. RNAcentral's name for it is "partial 16S ribosomal RNA". It matches the Rfam family "Bacterial small subunit ribosomal RNA", at positions 355 to 933 of the family's 1533-position model. The record is from RNAcentral.
UGGGGAAUUUUGGACAAUGGGGGCAACCCUGAUCCAGCCAUCCCGCGUGUGCGAUGAAGGCCUUCGGGUUGUAAAGCACUUUUGGCAGGGAAGAAACAGCCUGGGAUAAUACCCCGGGCGACUGACGGUACCUGCAGAAUAAGCACCGGCUAACUACGUGCCAGCAGCCGCGGUAAUACGUAGGGUGCAAGCGUUAAUCGGAAUUACUGGGCGUAAAGCGUGCGCAGGCGGUUCGGAAAGAAAGGUGUGAAAUCCCAGGGCUUAACCUUGGAACUGCACUUUUAACUACCGAGCUAGAGUACGUCAGAGGGGGGUAGAAUUCCACGUGUAGCAGUGAAAUGCGUAGAGAUGUGGAGGAAUACCGAUGGCGAAGGCAGCCCCCUGGGAUGAUACUGACGCUCAUGCACGAAAGCGUGGGGAGCAAACAGGAUUAGAUACCCUGGUAGUCCACGCCCUAAACGAUGUCAACUAGCUGUUGGGGUUUAUUAACCUUAGUAGCGCAGCUAACGCGUGAAGUUGACCGCCUGGGGAGUACGGUCGCAAGAUUAAAACUUAAAGUGAAUUGACGGGGGUCAUAGCUGUUUCC